Molecule: RNA transcript, 16370 nt
Organism: Cuculus canorus (common cuckoo)
Lineage: Eukaryota; Metazoa; Chordata; Aves; Cuculiformes; Cuculidae
Gene: ZNF704
Gene name: zinc finger protein 704
Exons: 10
Source: RefSeq, a predicted model, not a curated record
CGGGCACCAUGCAGGCGCGGCGCCUGGCCAAGCGCUGCGGCCGGGGCGGGCGGCGCGCGGGGCCGGCGCGGGAGGACGGGGCGCGGCCCCCCCCGCGGGAGGGCUCCGCCGCCGCGCCCGAGGAGGAGGACGAGGAGGAGGACGCGGUUUUGGAGGAGGAGGACGAGGAGGAAGAGGGCGGCCUGGGGAGCGCCCCCGCCGCGCUGAGCGGACACAGCAGGGGCCCCCUCCGCUGCGGCGAGAAGGCAGCCAGCAUCAAGCGUGAAAUGACCUUCUCUGCAUUUCAACAGGAGGAUGUAAAAAGUGACAUCAGUCAAAAACUGCCAGACCAACAGUUUCUCCCGUUCACCACAAAGGAGGAAGAUUUAAAAACAGUAGAGACCAAAAAACCAAACAGAGCUCAUGAGUGUGAAAAGGAAAGCACUCGUUCUAUUUGUCUUCUGGAACAGAAGCGCAAGGUUGUUUCUUCGAAUAUUGAUGUGCCUCCAGCAAGAAAAUCUUCAGAAGAACUGGACAUGGAUAAAGUAACAGCAGCCAUGGUACUCACCAGUUUAUCCACCAGCCCUUUGGUCCGCAGCCCUCCUGUCCGACCUAACGAAUCCCUAAAUGGAUCUUGGAAAGAAGGAGGAUUUGUGCCUUCUAGUACCAGCAGCAGUGGAUACUGGAGCUGGAACGCUCCCAGUGAUCAGUCAAAUCCAUCUACCCCCUCUCCACCUCUGUCAGCUGAUAGCUUCAAAGCUUUUCGGACACCUUCCCAGCCAGAUGAUGGUAUUGAUGAAGCUGAAACAAGCAACCUUCUCUUUGAUGAACCCAUUCCUAGGAAGAGAAAGAACUCCAUGAAGGUGAUGUUCAAAUGUCUGUGGAAAAACUGUGGAAAGGUACUGAGCACAGCUGCAGGGAUUCAGAAACACAUACGGACCGUUCACCUUGGACGUGUAGGAGAGUCUGACUACAGUGAUGGAGAGGAGGAUUUUUACUAUACAGAAAUCAGGCUCAACACAGACUCAGUAGCUGAUGGCUUAAACAGUCUUUCCCCAGUCUCUCCAUCUUUAGCAUCUCCUCCUUCCUUUCCCACCCAAGACACAAUCCGUCCUGAGACUUCAUGUGCCAAAACUGAGACUAAAUUGAUGACACCUCUGAGCCGCUCAGCUCCUACCAACCUCUACCUCGUACACACGGACCAUGCUUACCAGGCCACUCCUCCGGUGAACAUUCCAGGGUCAGCAAAAUUCACUCCCAAUGGCAGUAGCUUUAGCAUCUCUUGGCAGUCGCCUCCAGUUACCUUCACUGGCAUUCCAGUCUCACCAACUCAUAAUCGUCCUGCAGGGAGUGGAGAGCAGAAACAGUCCCACACAGUUCUUUCAUCACCGCCUAGAGUAGCAUUUGGCUUGAGGAAACCUAGAGGGGAGGGGAAGAAGUGUCGGAAGGUCUAUGGGAUGGAGAACAGAGAUAUGUGGUGUACUGCCUGCCGAUGGAAGAAGGCCUGCCAAAGGUUCAUCGACUAAAGAUUGAAAUUAUGCAGAGGAUUUGGGGAUGGGGGAGGACAACCACAGAACCAGAUUGCUGCAGCUGCACUGUAUCACUUCCCAUUUUCCCUCCAGUGACGUGGUGUUGGGGGGCUCUUGUUGGGUUUUUUGGGUGGUUUUUUUUUUUGAAAGAGCUUUGUAUUUCACAGUGAAGCACUUGUAGCCAAGGAGAAGCACUAAUCAAAACCUGUGUGGAGCAAUAGAGCAAAAAGAAAAAAAAGCAAACCCAAGAACAUACAACAAAAUUCUGUCUUACUACGUAUGGAAAUCAGAGCAGCUAUUAGUGUUUUUCUGUAAAAGAAAAAGUUAAUUUUUUUCCUAACUCUGUGAGCUACUUGCUCCUUAGGGUCAUUUUUAACCAUUUCAGUCUCUGUGCUGUGAACCUCUGUAUUUGCUAAACUGAGCAAUUUUUCUUUUCCUGAAAUGAAGAUCUCUUUUUGAAAGCUUUCUAAUAAACACUUCAGAGUUGUAUAAGCUAGAGUUUUCUCAACAAAAGCCGUACUAAGACUGGAGACUGCUAAAUAAUUCUCCUGAUACGAAUGGUCAUGAUUAUAUUUUUGGAAGGGGGAUGUGGGGAGGAGGUGGGAUUUUCAUUUGUUUGUUUAUAGGAGAAGAGCAAAGUUGAAUGUGCAAGAAGGACACGCAGUGUUCCUGGAAGAUUUUUAAACUAGGCACAGACCAUUGGAGUGGAACAAUGUAAUUUAAGUACCAAAUUGGAUUUUGAUCCUCUAGAGGAAGAAAGGCAGCAAUGGAAAUUCACCAGCAGAUAUUGUCACAACAAGAAGUUGAGGGAAGAUUUCCAAUGAUGCUUGAUUGAAACCUGUAAGAAUAUAAUGGAGGCCCAGUAGCUUUUCCUUCCACUCUCCGUUUUCUGAGGGAGGAUGAACACUUGGGCCAGCACAUCUGUUGCUGUAAGCGGCCUAUAAUGAAAGAACUGGCAAAUGCAGCCACUAGGAUUGUAUGUAAUACCUAUUCAGGGACACUAUGCAGCCCAGCAGUUCUGCUCUUGCUUCCUUUUCUCUUAUUUGAGAGAGUAUUGUUAAGGUAAUGGUUUCCGAGGCUCCCCUCUCCCCUUGAAGUUGCUAAGAUUGAUUCGAUGCAAAAAAAUUCGUAGAGAAAAUACCUGCUUUCCACAGCAUCAUCUCAGAAGAAAGAAGUAAGACACCAAAGGAGCAACGUAUUUAUGUUUCUUCCUUCAGUGUUGCUUUAUGCUGCAUCGCUGUCCUAAUGUCCGAUUCAUCUCACACUUCUGUACUGACCUCCCCAAAAGAGUAAGAUUUCUAUGUUUUUUUCCAAGGAAGAAUGCUUUAGUCACUUAUCAUCUUUGGUACUCACCAUUUCCCCUAUUUUCAGUUUCUCCAUGGGAUGUAGGUCAGUGUCUCUGACCUGGAGAAGUCAGAAAGAAUGGCCUGAACACACCACACAGUCUCUGUGUGCUGAAAAAAUUUGGAUAUGGGUUCAUUUAUGUCAGGAGCCAGAAACUGAGAUAUAAAAGUGGAAGGAUUUUUUUUUUAAUUGGGUUUAACUACUCACUAGUAUUGGUGCUGGUAACAGAAAUUGCCAACAUCAGUAUCAGAGUGGACAUCAACAGUAUUAAGUCCCAAAUAUUUUUCUUCAGGAGUUUUCAUGCUGUAACACAGCUACUUCCCACUUUCCUAUUUGCCCCAUCUCCUGAAAGAUCUAGAAAAGGAGAAAAUUUCUAUUUUAAUGGUAAUUUUUAAACUGCGACUGUGCUCCAGCUGCUCCCAUAGGAAGCUGUUGGACAUUGCAGACUCAGAUCAUCUUAGUCAUAAAAUGGUUUCCACUCCAAAGAAUGUGCCUGAUUCCCUAGUGCCUUGCACAAAUGUAACAGGUUACUUAAGAUGCAAAGUGAGCAAAAACUUUUCCAUUCCAAUUUACAGGCUUACCUUUACUUUUAACCAAUACCAGUCAUCAUCUAGCAGGUAUCUGUUGUCAUGGAAGCCAGGCCUGUAGGCCUUCUUGUGUGAAUACGUUGAGCAAAAUGCCUAUCUGUUGAAUUACUUUUUCCGAAUCAUUAGCCUGGUAUGAACGUUAGCUGUCUAAUGAUCUGCAGAUUUCUUGCACCAUUUGCUAUCACUGACAUCACUUUCUUUGUUCCUUCUCCUCUUCAUUUUUUAAGAUAAUGAAUAAGUCAGCAACACAACAGGAGGCACAACUUUAGCGUAAUGUUCUUGUAGAACUUGCAUGUAAGAACAGACUCCAGCUCCGUGUCGUAUCCCAGAUGUCCUCAUCACUGAGUUUUUAUUUUUUCAUUCUGAUCCAGUGAUUCAGGAUGAUUUUGUAUUUCUUGCUAUGGUUUGGGGCCAGCUAGAGUGGCCCUGUCAAGAAUUCAGGACAGUUGCUCUAAGUGUGGCAAUACAAAGUGUUUUCUCUCUUCCCUGGCCUACAGAUGUGUUGUGACACCAUCUCAGGAGCAGGAUGUGAAAUUAGAAGCUUGCUGGCCAGAUGUAGAGGCAUAGCAAGUUACUAGUGAGUCUUGUUUCUGGUGGUUCAAACUUCAGUCAUCUGUUGAAGAAAUUGCUGCACCUUUUCUUAGAAAUAUUUUGAUAAGGAAACAUUUGUAAACUCUGAUCUUAUAUUUACACUUUAUUCAGUCUUCCUGUAAGGUGGUAGCACUGGAACUGAGACCUGCAUGCUGUACAGGAUUUAAUCUGUGUUUGUUCAGGUUUUUCUGGAAGAUAAGUGUGGCCUGUUGCAAAGCAUCAUAGCAGAGAUUUAGUUCUAACGGAAGUUCGGCACCUUAAGCAAAAUAAUCAGAAAGUUAUCAGCAAAAACUAACUAAACUAAGAGUUUAAAUGCCUUCCGUAUCUGCUAUAUGUAAGCAGCCCUUGUCUGCCUCUAUGUGGAGCAUGAAAAACUUCUUCGAUGUUGCAAAAAGCCAAUGUAUGCCUGUAGUUGGUAGAGUCCACUUGAACUGUUUUUUCUGUCUUAGACCAUUGUGCUUUCACAUAGACCAUGCUCUCACUUCUAUCCAAACUGUAAAGAAGACGUGGAUCUUCCACUUGCAACUUCUGAAUUUAUUCCUCAAUACAAAACCACUAAUUGUUUUUUGUGCUUCACACAGACCAUUUUUAAUAGCAGUCUAGAAAGACCCUGAAAGUAGAAAUCGGCCCUUUUCUGAUGGCACAAGCAAAAUAAAACAUGGUUUUCUUGUGUACUUAAUUGUACAUACGGCAAGAAUUCACUUGGUCAGUCAGCUGAUGGAAUGUAAGAGAAUGGAUAAAUAUAGUAACAAGCUGGUGUUCUGCUUUAUUUUAACACAACCCUAAGAAUUGUUUUCCGUCUGUGUGUUGUGAGAGCUCUAAUAUGCCCUUGAGGGAAAUUAAUUUAGCAGUAGAAAUGCAGCUUCAGCUUUCCUAUUACUUGGGCAUGUACACGCCAUUAUACUAACGAAGUAGGGUUUCAAAUUAAAUCCAAAUUCUUUAUAUAAUUAAAUGCUAAAGAUGGACUUCAACAUUUUAAAAUGUUUGACUGUUGGUGUUUUCCAUUUGGCAAUACUCUUAAAAAAUGUAGGUUAAACUCUGGAGUUCUUAUCUUAGCGUGUUGCACCCUGCAACAAUUAGUGGAUGAUGUGUAAUGGUCAGAUAAACAAAAGUGACUAAAAUAUUUGUUUAAAAAAACUGCCUUGGGAAGACAGAGAAAAAAAAUAGAAAGUACACAUUUCCUCAGGGAAUGUAAGAGGGCUGUAAAGGCAGGAUGUAGGUUUAUUUGAAUGGAAGAAAUUGAUUUUUUUCUCUCUUUUAGGCAAAAUUUAAAGAGCAAUAUAUCAGUUCUUGUAUUACUAAAAUUAGAAGGAAGCACUAAUUAGUGAACGUGGUCGUACUUAAUGCUGUAUCUUAUGAAGUUCCAAAUAAGAAAAAAAAAUAUUAGAUGAUAUAAAAAUAUAGAAAAUUAGCCUGAACCAUAAUCUGAUUGCAAUAUAAUUCUAGACAUUUGUAUAAAUCUUUUCAGGAUCUACUGUAAAUUUAAAAGGCUUCUUGUUUAUAUAGUUCCUUAGUCAAAGCGUACUUUGUUUAUAAAUUAUUUACUUCUUACCAAACUGCUUCAGCAAGCAAAAAAAUAAUGUGUUAGUAUGAUAUCCUGGCAGUUUGGAUUGUGCCACUUUGCAAGUACUCAUUCUACAUGAAAUUAAAACAUACCACCUCAUUUUUAUUUUCAUAUCUGCAAAGGUAUCAGCUUCACUAAACCCAAGGUUUUAUCGAAACAUGUUAACUAGUAUUUUGAAGGUAUACAUAUGCAAAUUCUCGACAAUUUCUUUGUUUGUAUGCAAAGAAAUUCUUUUAGGGGCAUAGAAAUUUUUCCUAUCAACUCUUUUUCCUGUGUCCAGGGACUCCAUUCCGCAAAUUCCCAAGUAUUUAUACUGAAGUGAAUAAAAAUCAGAAUCUUCAAUUUUAGGUCCUAAAAAUGUGAAUGGCACCCAGCAUCAGAAUUUUUAGUAUCAGGAUUUAACUGUAGCCAUUAAUGCUUACAUGAUGCCAAAAAAUCUUUCAGGAUCGGGGGUUCACUUAAUCUAUAAAUUAGCCGGUGUGGCUGCGCAGAGAUUGAGCUACUGCUAGUCCAACGAUAAACUGUAGGCUGGGUUUGAUCAGAGCACUGAAUUCUGUGUUUGACUUCCCUUGCGGAGUUUGUUGAGCAAGCUCUCUCUGUUUCUAAAGUUAAGGGACGGAUUUUUUAUGCUCUUCUGCAAUCAGGCAUUGACAAAAGCAGAUACGCUUACAGCUUUGUUUGAGAUAUGCGCUUUGUAAGACAAUCUAUCUUGUUCUGAUUUUACUCCAUUAAUCUUGUAUUUAGAAGACCAGACAAACCUACAGAAUUCUUUGGGUUUAAUUACAUUCUGCAUUGCAAAGGGGAAGUGAAAAAGAAGACGAGCUUAACUGUACAUUUUAGCAUGGGAAAGCAUUGCUUAUGUUUGUCAAAGGUGUGUUAUUUGCCAUCAAGCUCGAAGGAAUUUAUCUGAGCACAUCAGAAAAAAAUGUAUGACAAGCAGGUCACAUUAUAUAAAUUGAUAUGGUUCCAUCUGUAUUCCCUGUAUACUCAACACUCCUCCAGGCAACUGGGGGCAUCGGAGCCCUGAGUAUGAGAGGAAAUACACAAUUUUACCUAAAAAUUCUAUGAGUACUCUGAUUUUAAGCCACAAAUGAUGUUGUCUGUGUGUAACUUUUAGUAUUAGUAGACAGUAGCCUUAUGAACAAAGUGCAAUACUUGCAAAGGGCUAAAUUAUGGAAACAAGCGGUGUGUGUUUGCACAUCGCUGCAAAAUGUGCACUGUUUUAAAACUGACUUUUAUAGCACUGGGAUCCUAUUACCUCUCUGAAUUAUAAUGUUGGUAUAAUUUUAUAGCCAUUUAUUAUACAUUAUAAAACAGGAUUUGGGAUUUCGUGAGAACCAAAAGGAGGAGAGGGGGAAUUGUAAAUCACAUAAAAUAGCAGUAUGUUGUUUCACAUGGCAGAAGUAACCUAAAACACCUUUACAAAGCUAUACAAGUUCUGGAUUACUGAAAGAAAAAAAAAUACAUUGCCCUUGGUUACAGAGAUAAUUUAGUCUGCAAUUUCCCAUGAUGUCAUGAGAAUGUGCUUCAGUGUUCAAUGUUUGCUUUGUGUCUUGCAUAUAAUUUUUGGGUUUUAUUUGUUUGUAUUCUGAGUGUGAAGACAUUCCUAAAUUACUGAUGCUCAGCUUAAAAUUGUAUUCUUUUGAAAAUAACUUCUAAAAUUGUGAGAUUUCAUCAUAUUGUACAGUCUGAAUGAGAUCAUACAACAUGAUGAGCUCCAACUUAAUGUGGAGAGCUCACACAAGCAGAAGGUUAUGUAGGGAAAGAUUACAUUAAAGGUUUGUUGUUCAGUUAUGCAAAGGGUUUAAACAAUCAAACUAAAAACUCCACUCAUAUUUCUUCUCUCCAUCUGCACAGUGGGGACAGCAGAAUACAGGUUGCCAAGUAUGGGUAGCUUGCCAUCUUACACCAUUUUUUUUCUCUUGAGUAAUGAUAUACAUGUCAUUUUCCCAUCUUUCUCAGUGCUUUUGUCUUAUGCUCAGAGUCCAGAAUUAAGUGAAAAACAGAAACAAUCCAGUCUGUUGGACCAGAGGCUGUUUGGUUGUUUCCCUCUUCAGCUGACUUCUGAGACAAACUCAGGUUUAGAGACAUCAGUUGAAAGGGGCUUGAGCCAGUCAGGUAAGACCUGAAACAGAAUUGCUUCUAAUUGGAUCCCAGUGGGAGGAAACUGGUCUUAAGCAGUCAAUUACAGAAGAUUUGGAUUGUGUUUUUUUCUUUACAUUACAAGCCUGAUAAAAAAUCUAGUUACAUGAUUAAGAGCAAAAUGCAGAUAACUUUGUAACUAGCUGAGCCCUGGAAGCGCUACAGAUUUUCUCAGGAGACUUGCAAUUAUUCCCAUGAAUAAGUGCAUCGACUGAGAGAGCUCACACUGGUAACGGUUGUGGAACAAAAGCACUUGGGGUUUCCUCCGUGUGACUGUUUCCACUCUAGUUGGGAGGUGGGAAAUUGUGACUCUCCCUUUCUGAGUGCUUGAGAAGAGAAUUUGGCUGUUAAGCAUUGUGAGAGGGAUGGAUACCCACCUAGUCGUGUUUGCAUGGCUGUUGGAAGAUGUUGGCUCAGUUUCUAGUAAUACCUAAGUGACAGUACUCAGUGACGGAUUUAGGAGCUGUUAAGCACAUGAUAUUCAGCCUGUAAUCCACCCUACUGAUACCAGAUCCAAGGAGAAGGAGGUUUCUCAGGAUGGAGUCCAGGGUAGUCAGUUUACUGUGGAGGGAGUCACCACCGUAGCUGAUGUGCUGUCAGCUGCAUUUGUCUUGUCUAGCUUGAGGGAGAUGGUUACCAGCAUUCAUUCAUGACCCACAGUCCAGAAAACUCUUUUGAAGAAUGUUCUUUCUUUCAGAGGAGGAGAUAAAACAGUUAGAGAACUUUUAUGUUAUUGAAAGUCACAGAAUAAAUUACAAUUCUGUCAGAGCUGAAAUGAGGAGUGGUGGUUUCCCUCCUUCCAUACCCACACUGCAGCUUCUCAACUGGCUGGUGGAACCAUGCUCCCAUAUGGGCUCUUGCCAAGCCCUAUCACCUUAAAUCCUUUUCCCAAGAGUUGCUGGAAUCCAGCAAAGAGCCCUAAAACCAGGCCAAAGAGAGUUUGACCCCCAGGUAAAGGCGGGUGUCUCCAACUCUUUCCCAACUCUUCCACUUCCUAAGUGAGUGUUUCAUGUAAAAGCAGACUUUUGCAAAGGGAGCAUUGCCCCAUCACUUUCCAGUGGCAUUUCUAACAGCACCAGCCACCACUGCAUCUGCAAGGAACCAGAUGUUAGUUUUGUUAUUCAUGGGCUUUGGGGAAUGUUAUUUUAGAUUUAGAUCUCUGCAUUUCAAGUAACACUGUAGUCCCACAGCAGAUUAAACUGGCAUAAGCUUGUGCUGCUUUUGAAGAGCUUUUCCUACCUCCUGGCAGAGACUUUUCUAGAGAGAAUAUCCCACGUUAUGCUGGCUAGAACCACUCCUAAAAAGUGUAGAUCUAUUUAAAGUGCCUAAAGGCUUGAUUAUUUAUGGCUUGAGGUUUGUACUACUGCUCUUCAUGUGACGGGCAUAAUACUACUUUUAUCCCACUCUGUCUUCGCUGAAGUCUCAUUAAGGGCCUGGACUCUCCCAUACUCCUACAGCAGGAAGAUCAAGAGAGCUCCACUAACAGCUGCUUGCUUAGCACUACUAGGAUAUCAUUAAAACAGCAUUGAUUUUGAUAUGAAACGGAGUCUACAGAGGAAACAGAGGAGUUAGAUCAAUAAUCCUGUAUGUAGUGAGUCUUAAGAUCUCUCAGCUGUGCCAUCAUUUUGCUAAGCAGAUAUUGGAGGAGUUAAGGGACAUGAAAAGCAACCUUAUUAGACCUUGUUGCUCCCCCGACACCAGGGGUGUCCUGGAGCAAGUGUAAUUCAGGGUAAUUUCAGGCCAGGUAGGGUUUAUUGUGGGGCGAGGAGAUGUGAUCUCUGCAGGAGAACUCUGGGCCACAGAAAAGCAGGGUAUACUUCUUAUCCAGACAUAGUAGCAAAUAGGAAAGACUCUCUUUGCCUAGUGCAGUUUUUCAGCGCCGUUUUAUUAUAGCAUCAGUGCAAGAGUGAUGGGAAUGCCAGGGAGAAGGUAGAGAUUCACGAGGUAACUGAAGGAAGCUAACUGUCAGCAGCAAUUGCACUGUGUUUUUUUUUAAAACUCUGGAAAAAAGCAAUUAUGUUUUUUUGUCAUCUGCUACUCAAAUAUUAUUUCACGUAAAAAAAGUAUUUCCAUCAUAGAAGGGGGUGAAAUUAGCACAAGUUAAGCAGCUGUGGGAAAACAAAAGCCCAAUUGUGCAGUUUUUAAGACUGCAGUAUUUAUCCAUGCAUCCUUUUGUUUCACUUAAAUCACAAAAGGGAAAUCUCUGCCAACAUAUAUUGUUCUUCCUUUGUUUCCUGUCAAAUAUUGGUUUGGCAAAUGUGAAGUAAAUUUAAGUCCUUUUUUAAAAACAUUUUUGCGGAAUUACUGGUUUUAGAACCAGAGCGUUUCUUCUUUCACUCAGUUUAAAAUGACUGAGCUUUAAUUUGCUCUGUGUUGCACUUUAUUUAUUUUUCAGUCUUGGGCCAUGUAUUUUUGAUAUUAAAAAACAAUAAAAAUUUUGUUAAUGUAUUUUUAACAAGAAAUUAACCAUGAAUCUACGAUGUUUUUAUAAAAAUACAAGUUCCAUAAAACAACAAAUAAAUAUUUAGAGCAGAAAUCUUAUUAUGUUGAAAAAACUAUAGCUUUUGAAAUUAUUUAUGAUUUGGUAAAUUCAGUACUUUAAUUGAAGUAUUGAAGGACAGCACAGUUUAAAAUGGAAAAUGAAUAAGUAGGAGACAAAGUUCUUGACAUUGCAUUUUCUUAUUUACAAAAUCUGCAUUAGUUUAAUUGAUAUGGGUCUUAAAAAAUUACCGUAAUCUAAUUAAAAUAAGUCUAAAACUGUUUAAUAAGCUUGGUUAAAACGAAAAGAGCUCACAGAAAAGUUGAAAUCAGUUUAACUUAAUUGCCAGAGAUACAUUUUUCACCACACUAAGGCAAUGCAGUAUAGAGGGCAGCCUGAGAAGCCCCUUGUCUCUAGAGAGGCUGAACUCGCACAAGCAGAAGACGCCAACAGAAGCCAUACGCGAGUGUUUUCCUGCUUUAAACAGUAGCUCUUCAACCCCUCAGGCUUACAGACCCAGUUCUUCUGCAUCGCUAAUAGUAUUUACAUUUGUUCUUUUCUGACUUUAUCCCCCUCUGACUUUGGGAACUCAUGUCCUACAGACAAUCCUCUUGUUCCUAAAUGAGCUAACAAAGAUUUCAUCUUCACCUUGGCUUUAGCGUUAAGCUUAUAAUCCUAAUACUGUUGUAUGUAGUUUAGCUUCAUAAUUUUUAGAUGCCAAUUUCAAUGCUUUAAACAAAGAACAGCUACUCUACCCCAGCACAGAGUCCCUUCACAUCUUGUGGACUAUAUUGGAAAACAAAGGCCUUUUUACUUUUAUUUGUCCAAACUCUUUAUUCCAAAUCACAUCUGGAAAGAGGAAGCCUGCAGUAACUGGAAGACAAAGCACAUGGCAGUAAAAAGGGGAACGAGAUGUCUGUGCUCUGAAGUUCUGAACACCAUGGUGUGAAAUCCCUGCAGAAGCGCUUUGUCAGUCUCCUCCCAGAGUCCCCAGUUCCUUUUAAGAGACUUUCUUACAUCCUGCUUUUUUGUUUCUAUAUCCAUAGGUAAAAGUAAAAGCUGACCCCUGCUCUAACAGCAUGAGUACAGCCUCACCUUGAGUUGCGAAUGUAUCUUUUAAUCAAGCUUCAGUUUCGCCUACAGGAGAUGUGCAGGAUCUGGGUAGUUCUGCAUGCUGUAAAGCUGUUGUAUCCUCCCAGGAGCCGGUAGGACUCCUGGGAGUCUGGCAGGCUUAAACACUGCUGAGCAUAGCGAUACCUGUGCUGAAGAGAAAGUGUAGAUCAGUGUUGCCUACACAUCCUAUCACAGAGAUGAGUACCGCACAGUGCUGCACAGGUCUUGCAGGUGCGGAAAAAUAAAGCUUAAAACCUUUGCACUAAGCACAGGGUGUCUCCAAAAACUCAGUUUGUGUUUGACUGAGGAGCAAAAGCAGUGCCAGGCCUCCUCCAAGGUGGUGGGCUGUCAGGCAGCACAAAUAAGAGUUCUGUUCCCCAACUGGUUUCUGUGUUUUCGUGUGCAUUCGAAGGAAAGCUUAAAAGAGAUUUUUGCAUGUAGAUGAUGUUCCUGUGCAAUCUGAUUUGAUUCUGCCCUCUGGGGGCAGUUUGUGGGCCAGCACAACAGAUUUAGAUAAGCGACUUCCACUGCCAGUUCCUUGCACAGAACAAAAACCCGUUUCUUACUACAAUCAGGUGAUUUUCUUCUUCUUAAGAUAAAAAAAUCACAGAAAACAAAAUUCCACUGUGCAGACCAUUGUGAAACUCUCACUGUCUCCCUGUAGCUGAGGAGAACUCCAGAAUUCAGAGGACUGUGGCCAUAACUCAUAAAAAAAAACUCUGCAGUCUGUUCCCACUAAAAGCGUUUCAGUGCUACAUCAAAAACAUACAGACCUGGGCUCUCUGAAAUUCCUCUUAAGAAUUUUGCUGUUACGUGAUAUGAAAAAAAGUCUUAAAAUCUUUGUGUCUGCAUCUGAGUUGAUUCUGCCUGCAGAACCGAGAGCACUUCCAAUAGACUUCAGAUAUGUAGGGAGUCAUUCUCAGUACAAAUCAUAUCACUCCAAAUGUUUCAAAUAUUUUCAUUAAAUGAAAAGCAUGUGCAAUAGCAAUGUAUAUUAAUGCCUAAAAGUCUAUGAAAAUAAUUGAGUUAAAGUACUAAGAAGUGUGUGCUUGCACUUGAAACUUUAAAGAAAGACUGAGCUACUCAUUCGCUAAGCACUAGCUCUUGAGUUUUAUUAAUGCACUAAACCAGCUUUGGACAGUGUAACUUUUUUUCUGAAAAUUGAGAAGGAAUAUUUUUUUCUCAAGUUAUUCAAGUAAUGAGUUAAUGAAUAGUUUGUUUCUGGUUACUGGGUUUUAGAAUGAGCAAAUCUUACUGUUUUGCACUUCCAAUAUUCUUUGUUUGUGUGGAAAAAACCCUUUUCUGCUUUUUCCUUUCCCACUGAAUGAUCAGUUCAGUAGCUACAGAAAAUGUUUCUUCACUUAGAUUGCAAAAAUAUCCUUUGAUAAAUUUACUCUUCUCGUGGUAAAUCCCGAUUAUUUGACUUUUGUGUUUUUUCUAGUUUCAAAAUGCUUUUGUGCAAUUUUCAUAGAUACAGUUGAAUAAAAAUUUCAUGGAAUAAUCUAAAUCAUCACUAGCCUAGGUGCAUUAACUUUUUUUCCUAAUUAAGAACACAACAGAAUAUGAAGUGUCAUUACCAAAGUCAAUUCAUUGCUGAAUUAAAUAUUCUUAGAACAUCUUGAUUAGUAAAAAGCAGUUAUAAUUGUUAAAUUACCUUUAGCAGCGAACUUUAUUAAGUAUCACAGGUGAGAAAGCAAUUUUUCUUCAAAAGAGCACAAAUGGAAAACAAAAUUAAAAUAGAUCAUUUAAACCAAGGCUUUCUCCUUGUCGUUAAGCCCAUCCUGCCUGGUGCAUUACUGUUGUACAUUCAGGGAUGCUCAAGACAAUAGACGUUCCGUGUGGGAAGCAGCCAGGUUCCAAAAUGUUAACUGAAAUAAAAACAAAAGUGAGCAAGGAUUUUCUAAAUUGCAGCUUGGCUAUUGCUAAAAAAACAAAAAGCAAAAAAGCACAAUUUGCUACUGAACUGGAAUUUCAGCGUUUUAAAAGAAGCAUAUUUUAAUCUAGCUCACGCAGAACAGGUAAAACCAGGUUUCUGUUGAUUUGCUUGUCUGUCUCACAGGGCUUAUACUUGCUAAUAAACCCCAGAGCAGGGUGCACCAAUACUCAGAUGACCACGAUUGAAUUGAAAUCUCAUGCAAUCCCAAAAUCUAGUAUAUGUUAUUGCAGAGACAGCAGCCUUUGAAUUAAAAACUACUUAAAACUAUCUCAAAAAAAAAGGAAGAAAAAUAAGCUCAUUCUUUACUUGGGAAGUGCAGUUCAGCUACCACAAACUUGCAAGCCAUGUGCUUAACUGGUCUCCUGUAGCUUUGUCAGGUCGCAUUUUUGUUGAAACCAGAUGGUGGUUAAGCUACAUAGCAAAGAACCUUCCUUUGAUCUUUGUAAAUGAAUGUAUACGUACAAACUAUGCAUUUUCAUAUAGCUGCACACUGUAUGUUGAAUCAAUUCAACUCCAACCUUUUCCCCUAGGUUAGCAACCCCCCAAACUUCAGGAGCUGAAGGUGCUCCCAUCUUCUUUAAUGUGUAUUUGCCUCCCAUCUUGUUUCUGCUCUCCAAAAGCUUGAGAUGCAGGACAGAGGAGCGCUGAGCUCCCAGGGCCCCAGGAGCAGCGAGGCCAGGGGGCUGUGGCCAAGGCAGGGACCAGGCAUGCUCUCGGGGACCAGUUUGGACUCCUGGGGACCGCAUGGCCAAGCAGAGGGAUGUGGUACUUGUGCUUGUUCUUGCCAGAGCUGCUGCUGCUCCAGUCCCAGCACCUCUUGCACUUUUGCUCAGCAUCUCGCACGCUCGGGCAGCAGAUGGGGACCAGCAGCUGCUCUAUUGCAUGGGGGCUGUAGGAGUCUGCAGCAGCGCUAGAGCAAGCGAUGCCAUGGAGGGGGUGACUGCAAACUGGGCUUGCAGCCACCAUCCUCCUCCUUCUGAGAGCCUUUUCAGCCACCCUACGAGCCCAGUUUCACCCUUAUCACCACUUCUGUUCUCCGCAGUGCUCUGGAGUGGCUUAGGAGUCACCGAUGACUCCUUAGGGGCAGUGGUCUCACAGCUGAGACCUGCUGCCCCAGAUCAUAAUUGCUGGAAACCCUCAAUUCCUCAUCCUAAGCACUGACUGCGCUUCAGGGCUGGGGUGCGUAUGAUAUGAAGGAUCAGACCUUGGUUUUGGUGUACUGUCUGUUGGAAGGGAGCUGGAAAGAUGGAAAAUGGAUGUCUUGUUCUUGUAGUUGUAAUUACAUGAAGGAAAAAGGUAUUGCAUGCAACUUUCUUACUUAAAUUUUGGGUUGUUGCUCUAAUAUACAUGAGCCCAGUCUAGUCAGUGAAUGAAUUGUGUUUCUUAUAGUUUAUCCUACAGGAGGAAAGACAACAAAAAUAGAUGCAUUAAGAAUAUCCUUGCUUUAGAGUAAAGCAAGCUUGGACUUCACAACAAAGAAAUAUUUUGUUUAUAUGCAAACUAAUCAAAUAUUUGAUACCAGUAUGAAGGCAAUGGUAUGCUUAUCUAUUCAGAGAUGUGCCCUCAUCCAGGCUAUGUUUAACUGAAAAAUGCUUUUACAGUAUGUAUUUGUAUUUGAUGGGCUAAGGCCUUUCAUUUUAUAUUCUUUACAAGAAUUAGCGUGGAAAAUAUGUUUUCCCAUUUAUUGAGCUACCUGCCCAUGCUAGUUGUCCAUUUGCAUAAAGAAUAUUUCCACUACUUCAUAGAUUUUUGGGUUGUUGUGGGGUUUUUUUAAACACUGUCCUUUUAAAAGAAUGCAGUGCUUUUUGUAUGUUGCUCAAUAGAAAAACAUAUUCCUUACCGGGGCCCCCACAGCGCGAUCCACAGAACCCAGUGACUUGAAAAAAAUGCAUGAGGACAGGUCUUCAGGGGUUGUCAGCUACCGUAUCUCCCUUAGCCGUGAUCAUUUUUAUCAGCAGAGGACCUGCCCUAGGAGGAUUACACAGAGGCAGCUGUAGGGAUGCUCAGCGUGGCACAGGAGGCUCUGGCGCAGGCAGAUCUCCGUUCCCAGGAUAUGGCCUGUAACAGCAACAGAAAGACACUACUGCAUCUCUGCAGCCAUCCCGUGGGUCUGGGGGAGCUCCAGCUGCAGCCCCUCAAAUCAAAGCACUGACUGCGACUGUCAGUCCUUUGCUGUCACUAUCACAAAGUUGACUUUUAAAAUGAGAAAGAGCUUCCAACUCUGGCACUAAUGGAAAUACUGAAUACUUUUAAUAUAUAUAUAUAUAUUUGGAAAGUAUUUGAAGAAAGUGUUCUGUCUUUUUUUAUACAACUUUUAGCCAAAUAGAAGUAUUCUGAUUAUUACUUCUGUGGAUACUUGUCCACCUGUAAAUAAACUCAUAUUCGGGUACAUGAACCUGAAGGAAAAAAAAAUAAUACAGACUGUUCACUGGCUAUGCGCUUUGCUAGCUUGUGGUUCCUUUGUACAUAAGAGGUAACUGUUUAAAUGUUGGGUGGGUGGGGGUUUUUUAUUUAACUGUUGUUCCUCUAAAGAAAGAAGAAGAAAAAAAACUUUUGACUUUGUUUUCUCUUUUCUGAGUUAAUACAAAGAUUUUCUAACUUUAUACUGCAGAAAUGGAUAAAUACCUGGUGCUAUGUGAAUUCGAGUCAAACUGGCCAUAGCAGACAUACCAGCUAGAAUGCACUUUUCCUGUGGCACACAGUGUAUUUUCUCAGAAGGAACUUUCAAAGGACCAUCAGAUGUUUACAUUUCUUCUUGUUGCCCCAGAUAGUUUUGAAUAUUUAAAUAACUUCCAGAAAAUAGAGAAAGUCAUGAUCCAUCACUGAUGUGACAAAUCCUUACAUUUAGGUAUCUACAACAGGUUUGUACAAAUACCAUUUUAGAGAUAGUUGAAAUACUGGGCUUUCAUACUUCGUAAUGCUUUGAUGUGACAAUAAAUAUGCUGUUGCUAUCUAGUCUAACCUCAUUGUAGACCUGUAACUUCCUGUUUAUGGUUAUGUCAUUAAUUGCACUGGCUUGAAUUCAGCCAAAUACUGACUGUUCAGCUGAAAUAUUCUGACUGUUAUGAUGUCCACAAAACAUUUAAUUAAAUGCACUUGUAUCUGA